Molecule: RNA transcript, 3224 nt
Organism: Betta splendens (Siamese fighting fish)
Lineage: Eukaryota; Metazoa; Chordata; Actinopteri; Anabantiformes; Osphronemidae
Exons: 19
Source: RefSeq, a predicted model, not a curated record
AGACGUUCACAGUGGAAGACAAGCAGCAACAGGCCUCAAACCAGCAGGAAUACAGCAUCAGUGCUGCUUCAUAUUUAGACAACGGAGACUUCUGGUGUAAAGGAGCAGCUCCUAAAACUACAGAUUCACGAGAUGCUGCAGAAGAUUCUAACAUGAAACCAGUUGGUACCAGGUGUGAGAGCUGUGAGCUGCAGAUCUUGUGCUUGUCCACAGUGAAGCGUUCUCUUCAUGAGGACUCAGACUUGAUGUGAGGAUGGGACACACUUUCCUCUGUGAGCUGCAGUUUCUAUUGCUGAUCAGACUUUUCUGGUGUGGACACGCUGAAGAUGCUGUGUUGACCCUUGAACCCAACUGGACCAGAUUUGUUCCUGGAGAGUCUGUGACCUUCACAUGUGACAUGAAGGAGGGAGAAAAUACUGACUGGGAAAUUAGAUUCACCAAAGAUGGACAAAAGUUUGUUCGUGAUAGUUCAGCUCCAACUCUAACAAUAAAAAAACUUUUUACAAGACACAGUGGUAAAUACCAGUGCUCUGGUCUUCACAAGACUAAAAAACAUAUGAAAAUCAGUAAAAGCAUCUCUUUAAUUGUAUCAGACAAAAAAGAAAACCCCAAAGCCAGACUGACAGCAGGUCCAUCAACCAUAUCAGUAGGAGGCAGCGUGACACUGAGCUGCUCUGUGGACGACUCUGAUGGAUGGAAAUAUGACUGGUUCAGACGGACGUCAAACACUUAUGUGACACCAGCAGCUGAUGGAGACAACAGAGAAAUCAGAGUCACACAAGGAGGCGUCUACACGUGCAAAGGAGGAAGAGGAGAACCAGCUGCCUACUCUGAUCAAAGUGAUGAUGUCACCAUCAAGAUAACUUAUUCUAAUUCUGUGUCUGUGAGUCUACAACUGGACUGGACUCAGGUGAUCAGAGGUCAGAUCACUGUUAGAUGUGAGAUCCAGGGAGGUGGAGACACUCAGUGGGUUUAUGACUGGAAAACAACCAGUGGACAAACAAUCACACAGAGAACAGACACUAAUUACUGGACAGUGUCUGCGUUCAGCAGUGGAGGCUACAGGUGCAGAGGAACAAACAGACAGGACUCAGAUUCUUCAACACGGUGGAGUGAAGCUGCCGCACUGACAGUAUCAGGUGCUGUGUUGACCCUUGACCCCAGCAGGUCCAGGUAUUUUACUGGAGAGUCUGUGACCUUCACAUGUGACAUGAAGGACGACAAACGCACUGACUGGGAAACCAGACUCAUCAAAGAUGGAGGAGAAAUAGCUUCAUAUAAUAGAUACAGAAUAAAAGCUCUGUCUACAGGAGACAGUGGUAGAUACCAGUGUUUUAGUGUCCACAGGAAAACAAAUCACAUAAAAACCAGUGAAACCACCAAUUUAACUGUAUCAGUCCCAAACAAGGUGGUCGUGACUCUUCAUCCCAACUGGACUCAGUUGUUCAGUGGAGAGACGAUCACUGUCAGAUGUGAGAUUGAGGACAGAGGAGACACUGAGUGGGAAUAUGAAUGGAAAACACCCAGAUCAAUAAAUCCCUCAGACCAACAUGAACACACCAUAACUGUUGGCUCAUCAGACAGUGGAGGCUACAGCUGUAAGGGCAGAAUGAAGAGGGAACAACAGUCUUCAACAGUGUGGAGUGAUGCUGUCACACUGAGAGUCUCUGACAAUAAAGCCCAGUGUGUCCUCACAGCGUCUCCAUCUUGGCUGAGUCCUGGAGCCUCAGUAGCUCUGAGCUGUGAGGUUGAGCCUCCAUCUGCAGGAUGGAGGUUCUACUGGUACCAGACUGUUCCUGAUGGCUCACACAGCUCCUACAGAUAUGAGCUGCUACCUGGUAGUGAGCAUGGGACUGAACAGGGCUCCUACAUGCUUGAUGGACACACACACACAGCAGGAUAUGUGUGUAGAGCUGCAAGAGGAGAACCAGUGUAUUACACUGACUACAGCAAAGCAGCAUUCGUCUGGUCUGGAGAUGUUGAUCCGUCAGCGUCUCUCACAGUGAGUCCUGACACAGUUCAACACUUCACCCGUGACUCUGUGUCACUGAGCUGUGAGGGAAACUCUACUGAGUGGAGAGUCAGGAGGUUUCCUGAAGGAGGCUUCCUGUCAUCCUGCUCCAACUGGACAACAUCUGGAUCCAGAUGUGACAUCAACACAUCACAGUCUGGUUCUGCAGUGUUCUGGUGUGAGUCUGGAUCAGGACACUUCAGUAACUCAGUCAACGUCACUGUUCAUGAUGGUGACAUCGUCCUAGUGAGUCCUGUUCUUCCUGUGACUCAGGGAACAGCUGUGACUCUUGGCUGCAGGUCGAGGACACAACAUGUUGUGUCUAAUGUGUCUUUCUAUAACAACGAUCAACUGAUCCAAAGUGACACCAGAGCAGAGCUGAACAUCUCUGCAGCGUCAGAGUCCCAUCAAGGCUUUUAUUCAUGUCAAGUGAAGGAACCGAGCAGGACACUGACAUCAGCACAGAGCUGGAUGUCAGUCACACUGUCCAGCUCUGACAGCUUUUCACUUCCUGUGUUGUUGAUCGCUGUGCUGGUUUGUGGAUUUACACUCAUGCUGCUGCUGCUCUUCUGUCUCUACAAAAAGUCUAAAGCACGUUCCACCAGAUCUCGGAGGACCAAUCAGAGCUCUGCUACAGAUCACAUGACCCAUCAGGAUGGAAGAAACGAUGAUCCUCUUCUUCAUGAUGCAUCCAGAGAACUCACAUACUCUGAGAUUAAGUUUAAAAACAUCCGUAAAAACAAACAAAGGGAAGCUGAGGAUGCUUCAGUUUACGCUCAUGUGAGAACUGGAUCAGCUGCAGGUACCAUUUACUGUAUUAUAAUACUGGUCAGUGUAGCUUCUUCAACAAAGAGUUUUAGGUUGCAGUAUGACGUAUGCCCAGGUGAACACUCGUUCUGUCAGGAAGGAUAAAGCCAAGACAACUAAAGAAAAAUCUGGUUCAGCAGCGAAUGAGUGUGUUUAUUCUGAAGUGAAAAAAUGAACCUCUGGGUAACAGAUCAGCCAAGCAGUGGGUAACAUGGAAAACUUCAUUACUAUUUGAAUUAUGUUUGCAGCUUCAUGUUUAUGUUUAAUUUAUAGAACUAUAAUCUCAUAUUUACUUUUGCUAUGACUGACUGACACUGAUUUAUGUUACAGCAAUAAAAGUGUUCAGUGUUUAUGUUGUAAUUAUGCUCUGGACUUUAUUGAUGAAUAAACUUGGAACUGAAACCGA